UUCUCUGGAUGAGUUGCGAACGGGUGAGUAACGCGUAGGUAACCUGCCUGGUAGCGGGGGACAACUAUUGGAAACGAUAGCUAAUACCGCAUAAGAGUGGAUGUUGCAUGACAUUUACUUAAAAGGUGCAAUUGCAUCACUACCAGAUGGACCUGCGUUGUAUUAGCUAGUUGGUGGGGUAACGGCUCACCAAGGCAACGAUACAUAGCCGACCUGAGAGGGUGAUCGGCCACACUGGGACUGAGACACGGCCCAGACUCCUACGGGAGGCAGCAGUAGGGAAUCUUCGGCAAUGGACGGAAGUCUGACCGAGCAACGCCGCGUGAGUGAAGAAGGUUUUCGGAUCGUAAAGCUCUGUUGUAAGAGAAGAACGAGUGUGAGAGUGGAAAGUUCACACUGUGACGGUAUCUUACCAGAAAGGGACGGCUAACUACGUGCCAGCAGCCGCGGUAAUACGUAGGUCCCGAGCGUUGUCCGGAUUUAUUGGGCGUAAAGCGAGCGCAGGCGGUUAGAUAAGUCUGAAGUUAAAGGCUGUGGCUUAACCUUAGUACGCUUUGGAAACUGUUUAACUUGAGUGCAAGAGGGGAGAGUGGAAUUCCAUGUGUAGCGGUGAAAUGCGUAGAUAUAUGGAGGAACACCGGUGGCGAAAGCGGCUCUCUGGCUUGUAACUGACGCUGAGGCUCGAAAGCGUGGGGAGCAGACAGGAUUAGAUACCCUGGUAGUCCACGCCGUAAACGAUGAGU
Molecule: ribosomal RNA, 743 nt
Filed under: uncultured Streptococcus sp.
Lineage: Bacteria; Bacillati; Bacillota; Bacilli; Lactobacillales; Streptococcaceae
Description: bacterial SSU rRNA
Rfam family: Bacterial small subunit ribosomal RNA
Source: RNAcentral